GACGAACGCUGGCGGCGUGCCUAAUACAUGCAAGUAGAACGCUGAAGGAGGAGCUUGCUUCUCUGGAUGAGUUGCGAACGGGUGAGUAACGCGUAGGUAACCUGCCUGGUAGCGGGGGAUAACUAUUGGAAACGAUAGCUAAUACCGCAUAAUAGCAGUUAUUGCAUGAUAACUGUUUGAAAGGUGCAAUUGCACCACUACCAGAUGGACCUGCGUUGUAUUAGCUAGUUGGUGGGGUAACGGCUCACCAAGGCGACGAUACAUAGCCGACCUGAGAGGGUGAUCGGCCACACUGGGACUGAGACACGGCCCAGACUCCUACGGGAGGCAGCAGUAGGGAAUCUUCGGCAAUGGACGGAAGUCUGACCGAGCAACGCCGCGGGAGUGAAGAAGGUUUUCGGAUCGUAAAGCUCUGUUGUAAGAGAAGAACGAGUGUGAGAGUGGAAAGUUCACACUGUGACGGUAGCUUACCAGAAAGGGACGGCUAACUACGUG
This 495-nucleotide ribosomal RNA is filed under the name uncultured bacterium. RNAcentral's name for it is "partial 16S ribosomal RNA". It matches the Rfam family "Bacterial small subunit ribosomal RNA", at positions 28 to 507 of the family's 1533-position model. The record is from RNAcentral.